RNAcentral lists this ribosomal RNA (322 nucleotides) under uncultured eukaryote. RNAcentral describes it as "partial 18S ribosomal RNA". It matches the Rfam family "Eukaryotic small subunit ribosomal RNA", at positions 1470 to 1796 of the family's 1831-position model. The record is from RNAcentral.
CCCUUAGAUGUUCUGGGCUGCACGCGUGCUACACUGAGUGGAUCAGCGGGUCAGGUUGCGCGAAAGCGUUUCCUAAUCUUUAAAUCCGCUCGUGAUGGGGAUUGACGGUUGCAAUUUUCUGUCAUGAACGAGGAAUACCUUGUAAGCGCGGGUCAUCAUCCCGCGCUGAAUACGUCCCUGCCCUUUGUACACACCGCCCGUCGCUACUACCGAUUGAGUGGUCCGGUGAGGCUUUGGGAUCUGAGCGGAAAGAGCGUUUCGCUGUUUCUGCUCGGAAAACUCAGUCGAACCUUAUCAUUUAGAGGAAGGAGAAGUCGUAACA